This 507-nucleotide ribosomal RNA is filed under the name uncultured bacterium. Its description in RNAcentral is "bacterial SSU rRNA". It matches the Rfam family "Bacterial small subunit ribosomal RNA", at positions 791 to 1301 of the family's 1533-position model. The record is from RNAcentral.
UAGUCCACGCCGUAAACGAUGGUCACUAGUUGUUGGGGCUUUAUGCCUCAGUGAUUAAGCGAAAGUGAUAAGUGACCCACCUGGGGAGUACGAUCGCAAGAUUGAAACUCAAAGGAAUUGACGGGGGCCCGCACAAGCGGUGGAGCAUGUGGUUUAAUUCGAUGAUACGCGAGGAACCUUACCAGGGCUUAAAUGUAAAGUUGCAUAGACCAGAGAUGGUCUUUUCUUCGGACUACUUACAAGGUGCUUGCAUGGUUGUCGUCAGCUCGUGCCGUGAGGUGUCAGGUUAAGUCCUAUAACGAGCGCAACCCCUAUUUCUAGUUGCCAGCACAUAAUGGUGGGGACUCUAGAGAGACUGCCGGCGUAAGCCGCGAGGAAGGUGGGGAUGACGUCAAAUCAUCAUGGCCUUUAUGCCUAGGGCUACACACGUGCUACAAUGGCGAAUACAAAGGGUAGCGAAGCCGCGAGGUGAGCCAAUCCCAGAAAGUUCGUCCCAGUUCGGAUUGG